GUGAGGAAUUUUCCGCAAUGGGCGAAAGCCUGACGGAGCAAUGCCGCGUGAAGGAUGAAGGCCUAUGGGUUGUAAACUUCUUUUCUCAGAAAAGAAUUAUGACGGUAUCUGAGGAAUAAGCAUCGGCUAACUCUGUGCCAGCAGCCGCGGUAAGACAGAGGAUGCAAGCGUUAUCCGGAAUGAUUGGGCGUAAAGCGUCUGUAGGUUGUUUAAAAAGUAUUCUGUCAAAGAUUAGGGCUUAACCCUAGAUAGGCAGAAUAAACUUUUAAGCUAGAGUUUGGUAGAGGCAGAGGGAAUUCCCGGGGGAGCGGUGAAAUGCGUGGAUAUCGGGAGGAACACCAAAGGCGAAGGCAGUGUGCUGGGCCAAUACUAACACUGAGAGACGAAAGCGAGGGGAGCAAAUGGGAUUAGAAACCCGGGUAGUCC
Molecule: ribosomal RNA, 426 nt
Filed under: uncultured bacterium
Lineage: Bacteria
Description: partial 16S ribosomal RNA
Rfam family: Bacterial small subunit ribosomal RNA
Source: RNAcentral